GAGUUUGAUCCUGGCUCAGAACGAACGCUGGCGGCGUGCCUAACACAUGCAAGUCGAACGGAUUUGAGGGGCUUGCUCCUCAAGUUAGUGGCGCACGGGUGAGUAACGCGUAGAUAAUCUGCCUGAUGAUCUGGGAUAACACUUYGAAAGGGGUGCUAAUACCGGAUAAGCCCACGGGGUCUUUGGAUUCUGCGGGAAAAGGGGGGGACUUUCGGGCCUUYUGUCAUCAGAUGAGUCUGCGUACCAUUAGCUAGUUGGUAGGGUAAUGGCCUACCAAGGCUACGAUGGUUAGCUGGUUUGAGAGAAUGAUCAGCCACACUGGAACUGAGACACGGUCCAGACUCCUACGGGAGGCAGCAGUGGGGAAUUUUGSGCAAUGGGGGAAACCCUGACGCAGCAACGCCGCGUGAGUGAUGAAGGCCUUCGGGUUGUAAAGCACUUUCGGACGGAACGAAAUCGCGCGGGCGAAUAUCCCGCGUGGAUGACGGUACCGUAAGAAGAAGCACCGGCUAACUACGUGCCAGCAGCCGCGGUAAUAC
Molecule: ribosomal RNA, 539 nt
Filed under: uncultured Geobacteraceae bacterium
Lineage: Bacteria; Pseudomonadati; Thermodesulfobacteriota; Desulfuromonadia; Geobacterales; Geobacteraceae
Description: bacterial SSU rRNA
Rfam family: Bacterial small subunit ribosomal RNA
Source: RNAcentral